This 481-nucleotide ribosomal RNA is filed under the name Shewanella baltica. RNAcentral's name for it is "bacterial SSU rRNA". It matches the Rfam family "Bacterial small subunit ribosomal RNA", at positions 26 to 494 of the family's 1533-position model. Lineage: Bacteria; Pseudomonadati; Pseudomonadota; Gammaproteobacteria; Alteromonadales; Shewanellaceae. The record is from RNAcentral.
AGAUUGAACGCUGGCGGCAGGCCUAACACAUGCAAGUCGAGCGGCAGCGGGAAGAUAGCUUGCUAUCUUUGCCGGCGAGCGGCGGACGGGUGAGUAAUGCCUAGGGAUCUGCCCAGUCGAGGGGGAUAACAGUUGGAAACGACUGCUAAUACCGCAUACGCCCUACGGGGGAAAGGAGGGGACCUUCGGGCCUUCCGCGAUUGGAUGAACCUAGGUGGGAUUAGCUAGUUGGUGAGGUAAUGGCUCACCAAGGCGACGAUCCCUAGCUGUUCUGAGAGGAUGAUCAGCCACACUGGGACUGAGACACGGCCCAGACUCCUACGGGAGGCAGCAGUGGGGAAUAUUGCACAAUGGGGGAAACCCUGAUGCAGCCAUGCCGCGUGUGUGAAGAAGGCCUUCGGGUUGUAAAGCACUUUCAGUAGGGAGGAAAGGUAAUAACUUAAUACGUUAUUACUGUGACGUUACCUACAGAAGAAGGACC